RNAcentral lists this ribosomal RNA (829 nucleotides) under Alteromonadaceae bacterium TAI. Its description in RNAcentral is "bacterial SSU rRNA". It matches the Rfam family "Bacterial small subunit ribosomal RNA", at positions 23 to 844 of the family's 1533-position model. The record is from RNAcentral. Lineage: Bacteria; Pseudomonadati; Pseudomonadota; Gammaproteobacteria; Alteromonadales; Alteromonadaceae.
CUCAGAUUGAACGCUGGCGGCAGGCUUAACACAUGCAAGUCGAGCGGAAACGAGAAUAGCUUGCUAUUCGGCGUCGAGCGGCGGACGGGUGAGUAAUGCUUGGGAAUAUGCCUUAUGGUGGGGGACAACAGUUGGAAACGACUGCUAAUACCGCAUAACGUCUACGGACCAAAGGGGGGGUUCUUCGGACCUCUCGCCAUUUGAUUAGCCCAAGUGAGAUUAGCUAGUUGGUAAGGUAAUGGCUUACCAAGGCGACGAUCUCUAGCUGGUUUGAGAGGAUGAUCAGCCACACUGGGACUGAGACACGGCCCAGACUCCUACGGGAGGCAGCAGUGGGGAAUAUUGCACAAUGGGCGAAAGCCUGAUGCAGCCAUGCCGCGUGUGUGAAGAAGGCUUCGGGUUGUAAAGCACUUUCAGCGAGGAGGAAAGGGUUAGUAGUUAAUAAGCUGCUAGCUGUGACGUUACUCGCAGAAGAAGCACCGGCUAACUUCGUGCCAGCAGCCGCGGUAAUACGAGGGGUGCAAGCGUUAAUCGGAAUUACUGGGCGUAAAGCGUGCGUAGGUGGUUUGUUAAGCAAGAUGUGAAAGCCCUGGGCUCAACCUGGGAACUGCAUUUUGAACUGGCAAGCUAGAGUUUUGUAGAGGGUAGUGGAAUUUCCAGUGUAGCGGUGAAAUGCGUAGAGAUUGGAAGGAACAUCAGUGGCGAAGGCGGCUACCUGGACAAAGAGGACACUGAGGCACGAAAGCGUGGGAGCAAACAGGAUUAGAUACCCUGGUAGUCCACGCCGUAAACGAUGUCAACUAGCCGUCUGUGGUCUUGAACCGUGGGU